AGAGUUUGAUCAUGGCUCAGGAUGAACGCUAGCGAUAGGCCUAACACAUGCAAGUCGAGGGGCAGCAUAGAGGUAGUAAUACUUUGGUGGCGACCGGCGCACGGGUGAGUAACACGUAUGCAACCUGCCUUCAACACGGGGAUAACCCGAUGAAAGUCGGACUAAUAUUCGAUAACACAGGGGCACCGCAUGGUGAUAUUUGUUAAAGAUUAAUUGGUUGAAGAUGGGCAUGCGCAUGAUUAGUUAGUUGGUAGGGUAACGGCCUACCAAGGCAACGAUCAUUAGGGGUUCUGAGAGGAAGAUCCCCCACACUGGUACUGAGACACGGACCAGACUCCUACGGGAGGCAGCAGUGAGGAAUAUUGGUCAAUGGGCGAGAGCCUGAACCAGCCACGUCGCGUGCAGGAAGAAUGUCCUAUGGAUUGUAAACUGCUUUUGUAGGGGAAUAAUUGUAUCCACGUGUGGAUAUUUGCAUGUACCUUACGAAUAAGGAUCGGCUAACUCCGUGCCAGCAGCCGCGGUAAUACGGAGGAUCCGAGCGUUAUCCGGAUUUAUUGGGUUUAAAGGGUGCGUAGGCGGACUUAUAAGUCAGCGGUGAAAUUUUGCAGCUUAACUGCAAACGUGCCGUUGAAACUGUAGGUCUUGAGUGUAGAUAAGGUAGGCGGAAUGCGUUGUGUAGCGGUGAAAUGCAUAGAUAUGACACAGGACCCCGAUUGCGAAGGCAGCUUACCGGGUUACCACUGACGCUGAUGCACGAAAGCGUGGGGAUCAAACAGGAUUAGAUACCCUGGUAGUCCACGCAGUAAACGAUGAUUACUCGCUGUUUGCGAUAUACAGUAAGCGGCCAAGCGA
This 852-nucleotide ribosomal RNA is filed under the name uncultured bacterium. RNAcentral's name for it is "bacterial SSU rRNA". It matches the Rfam family "Bacterial small subunit ribosomal RNA", at positions 8 to 854 of the family's 1533-position model. The record is from RNAcentral.